This 445-nucleotide ribosomal RNA is filed under the name uncultured bacterium. RNAcentral describes it as "bacterial SSU rRNA". It matches the Rfam family "Bacterial small subunit ribosomal RNA", at positions 354 to 796 of the family's 1533-position model. The record is from RNAcentral.
GUAAGGAAUAUUGGUCAAUGGGCGAAAGCCUGAACCAGCCAUCCCGCGUGCAGGAUGAAGGUCCUAUGGAUUGUAAACUGCUUUUAUCAGGGAAGAAACGCCUUCAUUCAUGGGGGUCUGACGGUACCUGAGGAAUAAGCACCGGCUAACUCCGUGCCAGCAGCCGCGGUAAUACGGAGGGUGCGAGCGUUAUCCGGAAUCACUGGGUUUAAAGGGUGCGUAGGCGGGGAAUUAAGUCAGUGGUGAAAGCCUGUCGCUUAACGAUAGAAUUGCCAUUGAUACUGAUUUUCUUGAAUUGGGUUGAGGUUAGCGGAAUGUGACAUGUAGCGGUGAAAUGCAUAGAUAUGUCAUGGAACACCAAUUGCGAAGGCAGCUAGCUGGGCCUUGAUUGACGCUGAGGCACGAAAGCGUGGGUAGCGAACAGGAUUAGAUACCCGUGUAGUCC